RNAcentral lists this ribosomal RNA (505 nucleotides) under uncultured bacterium. Its description in RNAcentral is "partial 16S ribosomal RNA". It matches the Rfam family "Bacterial small subunit ribosomal RNA", at positions 28 to 507 of the family's 1533-position model. The record is from RNAcentral.
GACGAACGCUGGCGGCGUGCCUAAUACAUGCAAGUGGGACGCAAGGAAACACACUGUGCUUGCACACCGUGUUUUCUUGAGUCGCGAACGGGUGAGUAACGCGUAGGUAACCUGCCUAUUAGCGGGGGAUAACUAUUGGAAACGAUAGCUAAUACCGCAUAAUAUUAAUUAUUGCAUGAUAAUUGAUUGAAAGAUGCAAGCGCAUCACUAGUAGAUGGACCAGCGUUGUAUUAGCUAGUUGGUAAGGUAAGAGCUUACCAAGGCGACGAUACAUAGCCGACCUGAGAGGGUGAUCGGCCACACUGGGACUGAGACACGGCCCAGACUCCUACGGGAGGCAGCAGUAGGGAAUCUUCGGCAAUGGACGAAAGUCUGACCGAGCAACGCCGCGUGAGUGAAGAAGGUUUUCGGAUCGUAAAGCUCUGUUGUAAGUCAAGAACGUGUGUGAGAGUGGAAAGUUCACACAGUGACGGUAGCUUACCAGAAAGGGACGGCUAACUACGUG